This 253-nucleotide ribosomal RNA is filed under the name uncultured bacterium. RNAcentral describes it as "partial 16S ribosomal RNA". It matches the Rfam family "Bacterial small subunit ribosomal RNA", at positions 524 to 776 of the family's 1533-position model. The record is from RNAcentral.
UACGGGGGGGGCAAGCGUUGUCCGGAAUUAUUGGGCGUAAAGAGCUCGUAGGCGGCCUGUUGCGUCCGCUGUGAAAUCCCGGGGCUUAACCCCGGGCGUGCAGUGGAUACGGGCAGGCUGGAGGCAGGCAGGGGAGAACGGAAUUCCCGGUGUAGCGGUGAAAUGCGCAGAUAUCGGGAGGAACACCGGUGGCGAAGGCGGUUCUCUGGGCCUGUACUGACGCUGAGGAGCGAAAGCGUGGGGAGCGAACAGG